RNAcentral lists this small nucleolar RNA (103 nucleotides) under Pan paniscus (pygmy chimpanzee). RNAcentral's name for it is "Small nucleolar RNA U13". It matches the Rfam family "Small nucleolar RNA U13". Lineage: Eukaryota; Metazoa; Chordata; Mammalia; Primates; Hominidae. RNAcentral also lists the same sequence under 1 other name. The record is from Rfam by way of RNAcentral.
AUCCUAUUGUAGCUCAUAAGCAUGAUUAUUGGUUUUUCACACUCAUGCGUGAGAUGUGCCUCCCUCAAACCUUGUUACCAUGUCCCCACAUUACUGCCUGACA